This is a non-coding RNA of Polychaeton citri CBS 116435, 103 nucleotides long. NCBI's taxonomy places the organism in Eukaryota, Fungi, Ascomycota, Dothideomycetes, Capnodiales, Capnodiaceae. The record is from the annotation of a GenBank genome assembly.
GCCCGGAUAGUUUAACGGUCAGAACAUGGGUCUCAUAUGUGAUUAUGUGACCAAGCGAAGCAUUGGCUAUCCCAAGAUCUGAGUUCGAUUCUCAGUCCAGGCA